This 90-nucleotide transfer RNA is filed under the name Flavobacteriales bacterium. Its description in RNAcentral is "tRNA-Ser". It matches the Rfam family "tRNA". From Rfam's summary of the family: Transfer RNA (tRNA) molecules are approximately 80 nucleotides in length. Their secondary structure includes four short double-helical elements and three loops (D, anti-codon, and T loops). Lineage: Bacteria; Pseudomonadati; Bacteroidota; Flavobacteriia; Flavobacteriales. The record is from RNAcentral.
GGAGAGGUGGCAGAGCGGUUGAUCGCGGCGGUCUUGAAAACCGCUUUACCUGAAAGGGUAACGGGGGUUCGAAUCCCUCCCUCUCCGCCA